CCGCAGUUCCAGCAACUCUACAGGAGAAGGCAGAAGAAAGUGAAACCCUCGAUUAACAAACACCUCGCCUGGGUCACAGUCUGACACAAGACACUGGGCAGCACUGCCAGCUUCCUCUCGAGGACUUUAUGUACGAAAAUCACCAUGGUGAGACAUAAAUAUACCGCUCCGGCAGGAUCUAGAGGGAAGGAACUUCUAACUGGAAUCACGAAGGAACUAUGAGAAGCGUGUAUUAGAUUCAAAGAAGCCCCAACAGCAGAUAGGGGACUGCUCCAUCCAGCAGACAGAGGUGCGCUCCAUCACAGACCAAGGAGAGUUCUUCCCACUGCACCCGUCACUCAGUGAACCUGACACACACACAAGAGGACAAGCUGAAAACAAGCCCCUCCCUUCAGCAACCUGGAGAACAGGAUCCUUGGUUCUUCUCUGAUUGACUCAAAGCAUCCAGAAAAGUGCCUGCUCUGUAGUAGGGCUCAAUUAAUAUCUGUGAAAUGACUCAAAUCAGACCUUACCUAGAGAUUAUGUAAUCUGACUUGGAAACAUGCAAAUACUAAAACCAAGUGAGCAAUGGUUCUCUUUGCAUACAAUGCAUUCCAGCAGCUGGGGGUCUGCGGCAGCAGCUUUUGUUAGAAAAGUAGAGGAGGGGCACCUGGGUGCCUCAAUGGGUUAAAGCCUCUGCCUUCGGCUCAGGUCAUGAUCCCAGGGUCCUGGGAUGGAGUCCCACAUCGGGCUCUCUGCUCGGCAGGGAGCCUGCUUCUCCCUCUCUCUCUGCCUGCUGCUCUGUCUACUUGUGAUCUCUGUCAAAUAAAAAAAAUAAAAUCUUAAAAAAAAAAAAAAGAAAGAAAAGAAAAGUAGAAGAAACUAACAACUGGUGAGCCCACAGCCAAUCCCUGGAGCUGCUUUACCAGAGCUGAGUGAGAAAAGCAGAAAUGCGGUUGCCUCUAAGAUUUAAACUUUGAGAUAAACACAUCACGAAUCAGAGCACAGACACACCAGAGACAGAAAAGCACAUGGAUGAGAGGGAUCGUCCGGGACAAAGGAAGGACAGAGCGGGCAGGGGCCCUUGCAGGAAAUGGCGAGACCUCCGGGAGCCAACUUUAAAUGUCCGUGGUUCCUUUGACAAAACCAUUCCCAGUGUGAAACACUCUGCCGAGGGAGCUUAGCAUUGUGCCAUUCAUCUUUUUUAUUCUUUAUCUUCUUUGGUUUUGAUGCUUUUCUUGCAAAACAAACUUCUGACUAUACGAUGGUAACCCCACUGCUGGCUGGUAUGUGGUUGGGUCACGAUUAAAUUACCUUUUUAAAGGCCUUGAUA
Long non-coding RNA from Mustela lutreola (European mink), 1312 nucleotides. RefSeq lists it as uncharacterized. The record is from RefSeq and is a predicted model, not a curated record. NCBI's taxonomy places the organism in Eukaryota, Metazoa, Chordata, Mammalia, Carnivora, Mustelidae. The transcript is spliced from 2 exons.